RNAcentral lists this ribosomal RNA (497 nucleotides) under uncultured bacterium. RNAcentral describes it as "partial 16S ribosomal RNA". It matches the Rfam family "Bacterial small subunit ribosomal RNA", at positions 28 to 507 of the family's 1533-position model. The record is from RNAcentral.
GAUGAACGCUGGCGGCGUGCCUAAUACAUGCAAGUCGAGCGAACGGACGAGAAGCUUGCUUCUCUGAUGUUAGCGGCGGACGGGUGAGUAACACGUGGAUAACCUACCUAUAAGACUGGGAUAACUUCGGGAAACCGGAGCUAAUACCGGAUAAUAUUUUGAACCGCAUGGUUCAAAAGUGAAAGACGGUCUUGCUGUCACUUAUAGAUGGAUCCGCGCUGCAUUAGCUAGUUGGUAAGGUAACGGCUUACCAAGGCAACGAUGCAUAGCCGACCUGAGAGGGGGAUCGGCCACACGGGAACUGAGACACGGUCCAGACUCCUACGGGAGGCAGCAGUAGGGAAUCUUCCGCAAUGGGCGAAAGCCUGACGGAGCAACGCCGCGUGAGUGAUGAAGGUCUUCGGAUCGUAAAACUCUGUUAUUAGGGAAGAACAUAUGUGUAAGUAACUGUGCACAUCGUGACGGUACCUAAUCAGAAAGCCACGGCUAACUACGUG